RNAcentral lists this long non-coding RNA (407 nucleotides) under Physcomitrium patens. Its description in RNAcentral is "long non-coding RNA (PPAT_LNC003996)". Lineage: Eukaryota; Viridiplantae; Streptophyta; Bryopsida; Funariales; Funariaceae. The record is from RNAcentral.
AAUGUAGCUUAAUGUUGCAGCAUUUGUUCAUGGCGUGGAUUGCGAACACACUUUUACUCCAUUUUAUCAUAGUCAAACCAUAGUGGAUCAGUCUAUUAUUUCUAUGACACACAUAUACAUACUCACUCACUCAAAAUUUAGGAGCCCUACAAAAAUCUCAAAGACUGGAUUCUUAUUGAGAGCAUUUCCACAUCUGACUUAAGACACAUGCAAAAGAAACAGUCAUUGCAUAUGUUGUGCAUCAAACUUUCGUGAAAUCAACAAUCGUCGAUCAGAACAUACACUGUGGAAUUCGAUCAUGGAUGCAAUUUGGGUUUCAGCUCAAGACAACGGUGAAUGCAAUGGAAGUGACAAUCUCCUUAGUGAGAAGAUAUGUAUGAUAGGUGAAAGCAUCGUAUGCUAUGAUA